RNAcentral lists this ribosomal RNA (489 nucleotides) under uncultured Glomus. RNAcentral's name for it is "SSU rRNA". It matches the Rfam family "Eukaryotic small subunit ribosomal RNA", at positions 569 to 1061 of the family's 1831-position model. Lineage: Eukaryota; Fungi; Glomeromycota; Glomeromycetes; Glomerales; Glomeraceae. The record is from RNAcentral.
AGCAGCCGCGGUAAUUCCAGCUCCAAUAGCGUAUAUUAAAGUUGUUGCAGUUAAAAAGCUCGUAGUUGAAUUUCGGGGUCAGCAAGUUGGUCGUGCCACUGGUAUGCACUGGCUUUACUGAUUCCUCCUUCUUGAAGAACUGUAAUGCUAUUAAUUUAGUGUUGCAGGGAAACAGGACUGUUACUUUAGAAAAAAUUAGAGUGUUUAAAGCAGGCUAACGCUUGAAUACAUUAGCAUGGAAUAAUGAAAUAGGACGUUUGAUCCUAUUUUGUUGGUUUCUAGGAUUGACGUAAUGAUUAAUAGGGAUAGUUGGGGGCAUUAGUAUUCAAUUGUCAGAGGUGAAAUUCUUGGAUUUAUUGAAGAUUAACUACUGCGAAAGCAUUUGCCAAGGAUGUUUUCAUUAAUCAAGAACGAAAGUUAGGGGAUCGAAGACGAUCAGAUACCGUCGUAGUCUUAACCAUAAACUAUGCCGACUAGGGAUCGGAUGAU